AAAAACGUGAUCUUUCUCCAUCCCUUUCUUACAACUUACCCUCCUCACGUGAAACGAUGUAACUUCUCCGACUGUAAAUUACCCGAUAUCUCCUCCCAGAGCAACCCGGAAAAUAAAAAAAUAGAGAAAAAAAAUCAAAAUACAGCAAAACUAACACAACGGAUAACUACUCUAGAGUACAGGCUUAUUGGACGUUAGGACAAGUAGCCAUGUCGUCGUCGUUUGGCUGCGGAGAUAUGACGAACUGGGUGAAGGGCUGUCCGCCAUGGCUGUUGCGAAGAAGAUGAAGAGGAGGCAGUGGGGUGGCGGCUAGGUGUAGGUUUUGAGAGGAUUAGGCAUUAGGGUUUUGUUUAUGUAUAGUAUAAUGAAAUGAAAUAAAAAAA
This 383-nucleotide long non-coding RNA is filed under the name Nicotiana benthamiana. Its description in RNAcentral is "long non-coding RNA (NBEN_LNC029097)". The record is from RNAcentral. Lineage: Eukaryota; Viridiplantae; Streptophyta; Magnoliopsida; Solanales; Solanaceae.